RNAcentral lists this ribosomal RNA (258 nucleotides) under uncultured bacterium. Its description in RNAcentral is "partial 16S ribosomal RNA". It matches the Rfam family "Bacterial small subunit ribosomal RNA", at positions 524 to 776 of the family's 1533-position model. The record is from RNAcentral.
UACGUAGGGUGCAAGCGUUAAUCGGAAUUACUGGGCGUAAAGCGUGCGCAGGCGGUUGUGCAAGACAGAUGAUCGGAAUCCCGGCUUAACCUGGGAAUUGCAUUUGUGACUGCACGGCUUGGAGUGCGGGCAGAGGGGGGGUGGAAUUCCAGCGUGUAGCAGUGAAAUGCGUAGAUAUGAUGUAGAACACCGAUUGCGAAGGCAGCUCACUAAGCAGACAUUGACGCUGAGGCACGAAAGCGUGGGGAGUCAAACAGG